UUCCUUCCAGUCGAUGGGGCUGUUACACCUCAUCAAUCGGAAGGAAUCCCUUCCGGUCCUCAUUGAUCAGAAGGGAUUCCUUCCGAUCGAUGAGGUGUAACAACCUCAUCAACCAGAAGGGA
This 122-nucleotide microRNA precursor is filed under the name Puccinia graminis f. sp. tritici CRL 75-36-700-3. RNAcentral's name for it is "microRNA MIR807". The record is from RNAcentral. Lineage: Eukaryota; Fungi; Basidiomycota; Pucciniomycetes; Pucciniales; Pucciniaceae.